RNAcentral lists this ribosomal RNA (253 nucleotides) under uncultured prokaryote. RNAcentral describes it as "partial 16S ribosomal RNA". It matches the Rfam family "Bacterial small subunit ribosomal RNA", at positions 524 to 776 of the family's 1533-position model. The record is from RNAcentral.
UACGUAGGCAGCGAGCGUUGUUCGGAAUUACUGGGCGUAAAGAGUGUGUAGGCGGUGCUCCAAGUCUGUUGUGAAAUCUCCCGGCUUAACUGGGAGGGUGCAGCGGAUACUAGAGUGCUAGAGGGUGGGAGAGGAAAGCGGAAUUCCUGGUGUAGCGGUGAAAUGCGUAGAUAUCGGGAGGAACACCUGUGGCGAAAGCGGCGCACUGGACCACAUCUGACGCUGAGGCGCGAAAGCUAGGGGAGCAAACAGG